GUGAGUCAUCGAAUCUUUGAACGCAUCUUGCACUUUUCAGGUCUCCUGAAAAGUAUACUUGUUUGAGUAUCAUAAACAUCUCUCCAAAAGGUUGCUUUUUGCAGCUUGCUGGGAAUUGAGGCCUCAAUGCGCUUGCGCACUGUGCCUUUUAAUGGAAAAGUCGGUGUUCUGUUGUUCGCAACAGAGCUUCCCUAACAAAAUGUGAGAUAGAUAUCGCACAAAGUCGUUUUGGAAGAGUGCCGACGUCGCCCCGAGGCUUGCCUCAACUACUGAAUCAUUGAUCUCAAAUCAAGUAAGACU
RNAcentral lists this unclassified non-coding RNA (300 nucleotides) under uncultured fungus. Its description in RNAcentral is "sequence contains 5.8S rRNA gene, ITS2". The stretch from base 1 to 72 matches the Rfam family "5.8S ribosomal RNA", at positions 84 to 154 of the family's 154-position model. The record is from RNAcentral. Lineage: Eukaryota; Fungi.